Molecule: ribosomal RNA, 140 nt
Filed under: uncultured eukaryote
Lineage: Eukaryota
Description: partial 18S ribosomal RNA
Rfam family: Eukaryotic small subunit ribosomal RNA
Source: RNAcentral
UGGUGGAGUGAUUUGUCUGGUUAAUUCCGUUAACGAACGAAACCUUAACCUGCUAAAUAGUUACACGUGGCUUCGGUUACGUGGGCAACUUCUUAGAGGGACUUUGCGUGUCUAACGCAAGGAAGUUUGAGGCAAUAACA